GUGUCGUGUGAACUACUUAGGGCCGCACUCCUUGAAUCUUUGUGCUUUUUCUUGGUGAUUUCGCUGUUCAAAAUGUAACGAUAUUAAUGAAUCAACUGCCUGUAUCAAAUAAGAACAAAAACUCACAUAAAGACACCAUGAUGGAUUGAACAGUUGGCAAAAAUGUGACUGGAGGGUGGCAGGAGCCUAACUCUGUAUUUUUCCUGGAGCAGAUUCCGAAUCUGUUAAUUCGGUACUGGUGGCACCAUCAUAGAGCAUAGGUACUGUCAACUGAAAAAAAUGCACAACCUAAAAUUUGAGAGUUAUGCUUUAUUUGAAGAACAAAACUGAGGACUUAAGCCUAGGACAUGGCAACUCAGAUAACUCUGAGAGUGGACCGCUCCAAAGAGGCAAAGGGGGAGCCAGGAUACAUAGGAGACUUGCAACAAAGACCAGGUAGUUGGAACAUCAAAAGAUUAGUGUUCAUUAAGGAAAACCAGAUAUCUCGACUUAAGGAAUUUAGCACUUUUCUGUGUAUAGGAAGACACAAAGACUGAGGUCAUUGAAAUCAUUCCUUUCAUGUGCACCGCAGCAAUCUGGGGCCUGUAUCCUGUGCAUUUCAGCCCAAGUUGCCUCAGAGUGCCCCAUCCGGGCAGCUGUAAUGUGAUGGCUUGAUAGCUGCAACACCCUUUGUUUACUGAAGGAUGUGGCAGGUGACAGUUUUCAUUCCCAGUACCUUGAACAGUGAGAAUCGGCUAUCCUUGCAUUAUGCAGGCAAUACUCUUUACAGGAAGUAAUUCAUGCCCAUGUCAACCUUUUGGAGGUAGACUCCUAUGGUAUAAGGAAUUGGUGCCUCUCCACUGCAAGCCCUUGCUCCUCAUCCUUGUAGGUCUCCAAACCUCCAAAAGUGAAACUCGCUCAGUCGUGUCCAACUCUUUGUGACCCCAUGGACUGUAGCCCAUCAGGCUCCUUUGUCCAUGGAAUUCUCCAGGCAAGAAUAUUGGAGUGCGUAGCCAUUCCUUUCUCCAGGGGAAUCUUCCUGACCCAGGGGUUGAACCUGGGUCUCCUGCUUUGCAGGCAGAUUCUUUACCAUCUAAGCCACCAGGGAAGCCACCCAAACCUCCAAAGGCAAGGAUUAAAUCCUGUUCAUCUUUGACCUCCAGUGCUCAGCUCAGUGCCCAGCAAUCAGUAAAGAAAUUUGCUGAAAGAAUAAAGACCACCUCCUACUUGCUUACUCAACACACAAAACACAUCACCUUCCAUAGAGGUGCCACCGUCUGUGAAAGGAAUAGUGAACAGGUAUUAUUUCAAAG
Molecule: long non-coding RNA, 1292 nt
Organism: Bos taurus (domestic cattle)
Lineage: Eukaryota; Metazoa; Chordata; Mammalia; Artiodactyla; Bovidae
Source: Ensembl